UCCCGGUUGCUCCUCUUCCAGUCCAGCCCUCUGCUGUGGCCAGGGAGUGCAGUGGAGGAUGGCCCAAGUGCUUGUGCCCUGCACCCACAUGGGAGACCAGGAGGAAGCACCUGGCUCCUGGCUUCGGAUUGGUGCAACGCCAGCCAUAGCGGCCAUUUGCGGGGGAGAACCAACAGAAGGAAGACCUUUCUCUCUGUCUCUCUCUCUCUCACUGUCUAACUCUGCCUGUGAAAUUUAAAAAAAAAAAAAAAAUGGCCAGCUUUUUAAAAAAAAAAAAAGUUCAAGGCUGCUAUGAGGAUUACAUGAGAAAAUACAGCACAAGGACUUCCCUGUAAUAAGGGCAUAAAGUAUUAAAAUCAGGAUUUAAUGAUAACGACAAUAAUGAGCACAUCGACAUAUUUAAAGUGCACAGUCCACACUGUGUGUCCGCACUGAUUCUGUGUGUAUCCAACAUUUACUUCGUUGAAUUAUGACCACAUCCUAUGUGAAGGAGGCCAUGCUAUUUUUCCCCUCUAGAGUUGAAUGAGAGAGAGAAAGACCCUGUUUCACAAAGCCCUGAAAUCACAACCACUCUGCUGCACAGUGUCUUAGAAUGUUCUUGCUUGGGUAGUACAGAAAAAAUAACUGAAUUCAGUGCUUUUUUUAUAUGAAUCAUCUUGGAUAGUGUGUAUAGUACUUUACGAGCUUAGAUGCAUGGGAAUCUUAUGGUUCUAAAUUCUAAGUUAAUUGAAACAUACUACAAAGGCUAUCAAUGAGGGGUAAUAAAAAGGAAAUUAAUAGGGAAUUUGUGGUUCUGUGAUGGGUUCUCUAAGGAGCAUAACAUCUUAUAUGACAAACAAGGAAUGGGAGGAAUUUCUGUUGAUUUUAUUGAAUGGGCAGAACUAUGGUAUUCUCACAUCCCAGCUGAGUAAGAUAACAGUGUAUCAGCCUCCUUGUUUGAGACAUUUAUGUAAUAAGCCAGUAGAAUUUCUUAGGCUGAAGAAAGCAAGAACCACUUAAUCUAAACACCCCUACAGUAACUGAAAAGACUUGCUUCAGCAUUGAAAAAGAAGUUCCUAAGCUAUGAACUUCUAACUUGUUGUUUUUCAAUUUGAAAUUUCAAGUCUAUGUUUCUGGGAGUCUUUGGAGGCACUGAAAUGUGUGGAAAAGUGUGUAUGCAGAGGCUUUGGACUGGAGAGAAUCCCCAUGGCAUUAAAGAAAGUUACAAAGACUAAAAUCCAAAGUUAAUAGGGGAAAAUGGGCAUUAUGUCCAUCUCAGUAGCAAACCAAUGAAUACAGACUAUCAGACAAGGUUACUUAGAUAAUAUCCUGAUUCCAUAUGCUCAUCAGGCAGCCUUUUGAUUUUUGCUUUAAUUUCCCAGAUGUGCUUUGGAAAAGAGAUACAUCUUAAUAUCAAUUGUUGCAUUUAAUAAAACUCAGUUCCAAUUCA
Molecule: long non-coding RNA, 1429 nt
Filed under: Oryctolagus cuniculus (rabbit)
Lineage: Eukaryota; Metazoa; Chordata; Mammalia; Lagomorpha; Leporidae
Description: lncRNA (ENSOCUG00000038421.1)
Source: RNAcentral